This is a non-coding RNA of Prunus mume (Japanese apricot), 204 nucleotides long. NCBI's taxonomy places the organism in Eukaryota, Viridiplantae, Streptophyta, Magnoliopsida, Rosales, Rosaceae. The record is from RefSeq and is a predicted model, not a curated record.
AAUAAUGCAUUUUUCUUUGAAAUAUUUAUCAGAAACCUGUUUGAAAGCUUUUCUGCACAAAGAAACUCAUCAUUUGGAGUGUGCUUGAGGAACUUUCAAUGUCCAGAAGAAGAUCAGUACUCGUUGCAUAUAAAUUGUGGUGGAAAACGAACCACCAUUGAAGGAGUCACCUUUGAAGAUGAUCAAGACCCAGGAGGUGCAGCA